ACCCAUCUGACGAGUUUCAAAUAGGACGAAACGCGCAUCCUGUAU
RNAcentral lists this non-coding RNA (45 nucleotides) under Schistosoma mansoni. The record is from RNAcentral. Lineage: Eukaryota; Metazoa; Platyhelminthes; Trematoda; Strigeidida; Schistosomatidae.